GGAGGCCGGCCCUGAGGAGAUCCUGGCUGUGGCACAGGAGUUAUCUUUCAGCAGGUGCAGCCAUUCCGAGCCAGAGAGGCCUGGAGGACGAAGAGACAGCACCUCAGGCAGCCCUGCCAGGAGCCACUGGGUUUCAUCCUGGCCUGACCCAGAAAAAUCUUAUGGAAGAGAACAAGAGGCCCGAGAGCUCUCUGAUCUGCUGUCAACCAGCUGCAGCCGAGAGAGAGACUGCCAAAGUGGGGCAGUGACUGGGCAGCGCCCCACAGAGCCGUCUGGGAGGGGAUUACCAGCCUGAUCCCCUGUCUUCAGAGCCAGAAAUGACUCAAACUUCACAAACAGCAAGGGCCUGCCAGGGAGGGUGACAAUGAGCACUGGAGAGGGUGUUCUUCCCCUUGUUGCUGUCUCUACACCCCCCCCCCAACCCCCCUCGCUGCUGUGGCAGAGAUUCUGGACAGUGUGCAGCCUGUGAGGUAAUCUGAAUUCCUUGGCAACCAGCAAGUACCUGAAUUCUUUCAAAACCGCAGGAAUCCAGCAGAGAAAAGUGAAAAUUUGGCUAUUAGCUCCGGCUCAAAGAGGGCCUUGUCAGAUCGUUUAGACCACAUACUGGAUCCACGGAAAACUGUAAAAUCCAGGACAAAGUCUUUUUGGAUUCCACCUCUGACAAGAAAGAGAAUCUACACCAUUUUGAUAGAGAAUGGAGCCCCUCUCUGGAAACUGAGUGUCCCCUGCUGGUGCAAAGCAAGAACAUACUCGUCAAACUCAAAAGUAGGGUGGACCUUUUGGGGCAAAAUGCUGGGCCCAACUACAAUUUUUUUCUAAACAUCUCAAUAUUUUGCCCAGGUGUAAGAAAAUAAUGACAGUUUUCCUGUGUUAAUAAAACAACAACAAGGACACCUGGAAAUUAUGACUCUAAAAAGAAACUAUUUCUGGUCUUUUUUCUUAAGUUUAAAAAGGUCAAGAAUUAACACAAAAUAUUUACUUCACAAAACAGUCUUGUGAAAUGAAUUUAAUCUUUAUGUCGCCUAAGCAUUAAUUCGAGGCCCAAAACAAGUGUUACGGGAUAAGACCCUUCCUUUCUAACGAGGAAGCCAAUUAUAUCUGCUGCCAGGGCUGUCUCUUUAGGAAAAAUUACGGUUUUCCUUGUUGAGCCUCGAAGUAAAAUGGCCUAGUGAUCUCAUCCCAAACUGCUUAUCUUCAGUAACAUCUACAUAAAACACACGUGACUCAAAAUUACUAGAGGCUGCAGAUCCAGAGAAGCUACAGACUAUUGCUGGAUGUGGUGACACAGUUGAGCAGAUUCUGAGGAUUAAAAAGUAGAUGAAAGCCAAGAUACACAGUGAGUUAAGACACAGGAACCUGAGGGGCGCCCGGGUGGCUCACGGUUAAGCGUCCAACUUUGGCUCAGGUCAUGAUCUCCGGUUGGGGAGUUCGAGCCCCGCGUCAGGCUCUGUGCUGACAGCUCAGAGCCUGGAGCCUGCUUCGGAUUCUGUGUCUCCCUCUCUCUGCCCCUCCCCUGCUCACACUGUCCCUCUCUCUCUCUCUCUCAAAAUAAUAAACACUUAAAAAACUUUUUUUAAAAAGAUACAGGAACUUGGGCACCUGGAAGUUAUGGUGCAGAGCAACGUGCCUGGCAAGACUUGCUAAGAGCCUGACAUACUGCACCGUCCUUGUGUCAAGCUUUUAUAUUCACCAAUGCUUUUAGCUUAACUGUGACAAAGUCCUGAAAAGUCCUAUUAUUUGCUUCAAUUCGGACUAAGUUUUUAAAAAGCUGUCUUCUAAAUUAUUCUGGGGG
Long non-coding RNA from Neofelis nebulosa (Clouded leopard), 1792 nucleotides. RefSeq lists it as uncharacterized. The record is from RefSeq and is a predicted model, not a curated record. The transcript has 2 exons. NCBI's taxonomy places the organism in Eukaryota, Metazoa, Chordata, Mammalia, Carnivora, Felidae.